This 250-nucleotide ribosomal RNA is filed under the name uncultured bacterium. RNAcentral describes it as "partial 16S ribosomal RNA". It matches the Rfam family "Bacterial small subunit ribosomal RNA", at positions 524 to 773 of the family's 1533-position model. The record is from RNAcentral.
GACGAACCGUGCGAACGUUGUUCGGAAUCACUGGGCUUAAAGGGCGCGUAGGCGGAUCAGCAAGUCCGGGGUGAAAUCCUCCGGCUUAACCGGAGAAGUGCCUUGGAUACUGCUGGUCUCGAGGGAGGUAGGGGUCAUGGGAACUUCUGGUGGAGCGGUGAAAUGCGUUGAUAUCAGAAGGAACGCCGGUGGCGAAAGCGCAUGACUGGAUCUCUUCUGACGCUGAGGCGCGAAAGCUAGGGGAGCGAAC